GACGAACGCUGGCGGCGUGCUUAACACAUGCAAGUCGAACGGAAAGGCCUGUCCUUCCUUGUGUUGGACGGGUACUCGAGUGGCGAACGGGUGAGUAACACGUGAGUGAUCUGCCCCCAACUUGGGUAUAAGCCUGGGAAACUGGGUCUAAUUCCCGAUAGGACUGCAGGGUGGUGCCUGUGGUGGAAAACGAUUUUCUAGUGGUUGGGGAUGAGCUCGCGGCCUAUCAGCUUGUUGGUGGGGUAAUGGCCUACCAAGGCGGCGACGGGUAGUCGGCCUGAGAGGGUGGACGGCCACAUUGGGACUGAGAUACGGCCCAGACUCCUACGGGAGGCAGCAGUGGGGAAUAUUGCACAAUGGGCGGAAGCCUGAUGCAGCGACGCCGCGUGGGGGAUGACGGCCUUCGGGUUGUAAACUCCUUUCGACCGCGAGGAAGCCGCCUGGUUGGAAGGGUGGUGACGGUAGUGGUAGAAGAAGCACCGGCUAACUACGUG
This 494-nucleotide ribosomal RNA is filed under the name uncultured bacterium. Its description in RNAcentral is "partial 16S ribosomal RNA". It matches the Rfam family "Bacterial small subunit ribosomal RNA", at positions 28 to 507 of the family's 1533-position model. The record is from RNAcentral.